UUGGAGCUCUGGUGGCUGUUGUGAGGAGGAGGAGGAGAAACGCAGGUGGGAAAGGAGACUACACCCCUGCUCCAGGCAGGGACAGCUCCCAGAGCUCUGAUGUGUCUCUCCCAGAUUGUAAAGCAUGAAGACAGCUGCCUGGAGUGGACUGAGUGACAGACGAUGUGUUCAGGUCUCUCCUGUGACAUCCAGAGCCCUCAGUUCUCUUUAGACACCAGUGUCUGAUGUUCCCUGUGAUUCUAUGGCUUCAGUGUGAAGAACUGUGGAGCCCAGCCUGCCCUGCACUUCAGGACCCUGUCCCUGCACUGCCUGCUUUCCCUUCCACAGCCAAGGUUGGCUAGUCCAGCCUGUGGGGUGGGGGGUGGGGACAUUUGCAUCCUGUCACUCUGUGCUUUACUGAGCAUUAUUAACUCCUCACUUCCUCACUGAGAAUAAGACUCUAAGUGUGAACUUGAUUGUUCAUAUCCUUGACCCAAGUGUUGAUAGCUUUUUAUUUUACUGGAUUGAAUACUUAGAGGU
Rattus rattus (black rat) is the source of this 519-nucleotide long non-coding RNA. RefSeq lists it as uncharacterized. NCBI's taxonomy places the organism in Eukaryota, Metazoa, Chordata, Mammalia, Rodentia, Muridae. The record is from RefSeq and is a predicted model, not a curated record. The transcript has 4 exons.